RNAcentral lists this ribosomal RNA (1413 nucleotides) under uncultured bacterium. RNAcentral describes it as "bacterial SSU rRNA". It matches the Rfam family "Bacterial small subunit ribosomal RNA". The record is from RNAcentral.
AACGAACGCUGGCGGCAUGCCUAACACAUGCAAGUCGAACGAAGAGCAGCUUGCUGCUCUUAGUGGCAAACGGGUGAGUAACGCGUGGGAAUCUACCUUUCGAUGGGGGAUAACCGGGGGAAACUUCGGCUAAUACCGCAUACGCUCAGAAAUGAGGAAAGAUUUAUCGUCGAAAGAUGAGCCCGCGUCAGAUUAGGUAGUUGGUGGGGUAAAGGCCUACCAAGCCUGUGAUCUGUAGCUGGUCUGAGAGGAUGAUCAGCCACACUGGGAUUGAGAUACGGCCCAGACUCCUACGGGAGGCAGCAGUGAGGAAUAUUGGACAAUGGGGGAAAUCCUGAUCCAGCAAUGCCGCGUGAAUGAAGAAGGCCUUUGGGUUGUAAAGUUCUUUCACUUAUGAAGAUGAUGACGGUAGUAAGAGAAGAAGGUCCGGCUAACUCUGUGCCAGCAGCCGCGGUAAGACAGAGGGACCUAGUGUUGUUCGGAAUGACUGGGCGUAAAGGGUGCGUAGGCGGUCGCUUAAGUAAGGUGUUAAAGCCCCAGGCUCAACCUGGGAAUCGCGCUUUAAACUGGGUGACUGGAGUGUGAGAGAGGAGAGUGGAAUUCCUAGUGUAGAGGUGAAAUUCGUAGAUAUUAGGAGGAAUACCAGAGGCGAAGGCGGCUCUCUGGCUCAUUACUGACGCUGAGGCACGAAAGCGUGGGGAGCGAAUAGGAUUAGAUACCCUAGUAGUCCACGCCCUAAACGAUGAGUACUAGAUGUUGGAUUUUUUUUCAGUGUCGCAGCUAACGCGUGAAGUACUCCGCCUGAGGACUACGGUCGCAAGAUUAAAACUUAAAGGAAUUGACGGGGGCCCGCACAAGCGGUGGAGCAUGUGGUUUAAUUCGACGAUCCGCGAAAAACCUUACCAGCUCUUGACAUGGGGAUUACGAGUUCCAGAGAUGGAAUUCAUCAGUUCGGCUGGGUCCUCACAGGUGCUGCAUGGCUGUCGUCAGCUCGUGUCGUGAGAUGUUGGGUUAAGUCCCGCAACGAGCGCAACCCUUAUCCUUACUUGCUAACAGGUUAUGCUGAGAACUUUAAGGAGACUGCCGGUGAUGAACCGGAGGAAGGCGAGGAUGACGUCAAGUCCUCAUGGCCCUUAUGGGCUGGGCUACACAUGUGCUACAAUGGUGGUUACAAAGGGAUGCAAUGGGGUGACCCGGAGCCAAUCCUUAAAAGCCAUCUCAGUUCGGAUUGUUCUCUGCAACUCGAGAACAUGAAGUUGGAAUCGCUAGUAAUCGUGGAUCAGCACGCCACGGUGAAUACGUUCACGGGCCUUGUACACACCGCCCGUCAAGCCAUGGGAGUUGGUUCUACCUGAAGCCGGUGCGCUAACCGUAAGGAGGCAGCCGUCCACGGUAGGGUCGAUGACUGGGGUU